RNAcentral lists this long non-coding RNA (5891 nucleotides) under Olea europaea subsp. europaea. The record is from RNAcentral. Lineage: Eukaryota; Viridiplantae; Streptophyta; Magnoliopsida; Lamiales; Oleaceae.
CUGUCCAUAAUGAUGAGAACAAAUGAAUUUCCAUUAAAUCGUCACAAUUGUUACAGAAACAUGCCUCACAUCAAAUUUCUGCACACCAACCUAAGUUGUGAUACAAAACCAAGCUUCAAAACGUUAGACAUGUGAGGCCCAUGUGAAGAUUUCAUGGAGAUUUGGAUGGUUUUCAACAAUGGGACAGAUUGUGCGACUUCAAUGAACUGUUGAGGACCAACUUGUACCUGUUUGGGAUCAAUAGUGCAAUAUUUUCCACUGAGAACAGAAAUUGUAGUUUGCGUCCUCUUUUGCUUCUGUAUCACGUCCCUGUGAUUUGACAUGCAUUUGCUGCUUCUGUCACCUGUUCUUUUGUUCCCCCUUUUUCAUAGUUGGAAAGCACUGAAUACUUUCACCUAGAAGUUAUUAACAAAUAGCAUUUUAUGGUGAACACACUCUUAUGUGAAACAAUAGCACUUUGGGAUGUCAGAAAAUUUUAAUAUGGAUAUUUGAAUGCUUUCUCAAUGUGCUUUGUUUCACUUGAGUGAAUGAUUUUGGAUCUUGUUCAAAGUAUCCUUUCUUUGCAGUCAGAAUGCUUGAUGAGGUUUUAAGGACAUGUUAUUUCUUUACUUGUGUGAAGAACUGAAGUAUUAUUCUUCUUCAUAAUCAUAAUAAUAAUGCUGUACAAUCAUUGAAUUUAUAUACUUACAGAGAACAAAUAAAAUAGGAAACUAUCCUAAAUUAAAUCCCCUUAAUUAAGGGAUUGUGAUAUUCCUUUAAUUAAGGGAUUAUGAUAUCUCCUAAAUUACGAGAUUGUAUACCAUUAAUACAAUGAUUCCCUGAUUUCCUUAUUGGGCAGAUUUUCCCACACUCCUCAAGCUGGUGAAUGAAUGUUAUCCAUUCCAAGCUUGCUAAUCAUCUUUUGAAACAUCAUACCAGUUAGUCCCUUGGUGAGCACAUUCGCAACUUGUCCAUCUGUAGAAACAAAAGGAGUAUAAAUCAGACCACUAUCUAGUUUUUCCUUUAUGAAGUGUCUGUCAACUUCAAUGUGUUUGGUGCGAUCAUGUUGUACAGGGUUAUGUGCUAUGUUGAUGGCUGACUUGUUGUCGCAAUAGAGUUUCAUUGGUUUUUCCCAUUCUACCUUUAAAUAUGCUAGAAUGAUCUUGAGCCACAAUAUUUCACAAAUCCCUAAAGCCAUUGCUCUAAAUUCUGCCUCUACAUUAGACUUUGCUACAACAUUCUGCUUCUUGUUUCUCCACGUCACAAGAUUUUCGGCAAGAAAGGUGCAAUAACCUAGUGUUGAUCUUCGGUCAACUGGUGACCCUGCAUAGUCAGAAUCUGUGUAGGCUUCAAGAUUCAAUUUUUCUCCUUUCUUAAAAAGAAUUCCUUUUCCCGAAGUUCCCUUAAUGUACUGUAAGAUUCUAUUGACCGCUUGAAGGUGUACCUUUUUUGGAUUGUGCAUAAAUUGACUUACAACACUAACUACAUAGGCAAUGUCAGGUCUGGUGUGUGACAGGUAGAUAAGUUUCCCUACCAAUCUUUGAUAAUCACUUUUCUCAAUUAGGGCAUCCUCAGGAGCUUCUCCGAGUUUGUGAUUGAAUUCUAUUGGAGUCUCAACAGGCUUACACCCUAGCUUUCCUGUUUCCUUCAGCAAAUUCAUCACAUGUUUCUGUUGUGAAAUAAAGAUCCCAUGCUGUGAGUGAGCAACUUCAAUCCCAAGAAAGUAUUUCAACCUACCUAGCUCUUUUAUUUCAAACACCUCCUUAAAGCUUCUUUCCCUUUCAUGUCAUUUUUAGUUACCACAAUGUCAUCGACAUAUACUAACAAGGUAGUUACUUCCCCUGACACUGAGUACUUGACAAAUAGAGUAUGAUCUCCUUGGCUUUGUUUAUACCCUAUUGCUAACAUAACUUUAGUGAAUCGCCUAAACCAAGCUCGAGGGGAUUGUUUUAGACCACAUAGGGCUUUCUUUAGUCUGCACACCUUUUUUCCUUGUAGAUUUGAACCAAAGCCAGGAGGAAUUUUCAUGUAGAUUUCUUCAUCAAGAUCUCUAUGUAGAAAUGCAUUCUUGACAUCAUAUUGUUGUAGACUCCACCCAAGGUUAGCUGCUAAGGAUAACAAUAUUCUUACCAUAUUUAUUUUUGCAAUAGGAGCAAAAGCUUCUAGAUAAUUAACUCCAUAAGUUUGAGUAUAUCCCUUAGCUACCAACCUGGCUUUAUAUCUCUCAAGCGAUCCAUCUGCUUUAUACUUAAUAGUGAACACCCAUUUACAUCCUAUUGGUCUCUUUCCUUUGGGUUGUUCCACUAAUUCCUAAGUGUUAUUUUUCUCAAGACCUUCCAUUUCAACUCUCAUAGCAUCUCUCCAUUCCUUAUGACCUAAGGCCUCAAGCAUAGUUUUGGGAAUGAUUAUAGUGUUUAGAUGUGUAAGAAAGGUUUUAUGAUUACGUGAUAAUUUCUCAUAUGACACAAAGUGAGAUAAUGGAUAUAGUGAAUUUUGGGUGCAUUUUCUUGUGCCUUUCCUAAGAGCAAUGGGAAGAUUAUCACUAGCAUCAUGAGAGUUAGAAGUAAUUACCUCAUUCGCAGGAGUAGGUUCAGAAUCUUGAAUUUGCAUAGGUUGAACGAUGGGUACCUUCUUCCUUGAAUAAACCAACAAUGGGCAAGUAGAAAUUUGAACCUGAUUAUCUUUUUCCAAAGUUUGUGUUUCUGAUGUAGGAGUACAAGGUGACUCGGAUUUAGUAGAAAUAGGGGCUGAAACAGAGUUUGGAUUUCUAGAUCUUUGAGGGAUUGGAGGAGAAUAUGAAGGAAUAGGAGAAUCAAGUUCUUGUAAAAAUAAGUCAUUGUCCUUAUCUUCCAUAGAUGUUCUCUCUCCCUGAAGAUAAGGUUGGGGAAAAUAACUAUCUCUUUCAACAAAUGUUACAUUGGCUGACACAUAGAAGUUUCGAGUUGGAGGAUGAUAACACUUGUGUCCUUUUUGAGUAGAUGAGUAUCCUAUAAAAAUACACUUAAGUGCUCAUGGAUCUAACUUUCCCCUGUUAUGAGAGUGUAUAUGGACAGAAGAUACACAGCCAAAGGUUUUUGGGACAAGAUUGUUUGUGGUAUUGAAGUUGUAAAAAUGCUUGGUCAGAACUUGCAUGGGACUUUUGAAACCAAGGACACGAGAGGGCAACCUGUUUAUAAGAUGGGCAGCAGUUAGAACACCUUCGUCCCAAUAAUUUUUCGGAAUGUGUUUUUGAAAUAGAAGGGCUCGGGUAGUGGCUAACAAGUGGCCAUUUUUUCUUUCGGCCACCCCAUAUUGUUGGGGGUAUUGAUACAAGAUAACUCAUGUAUUAUUCCCUCCUUCUGGAAAAAAUGUGAUAGAACUUGAUUGAAGGAAUCUUUAGCAUUGUCUGAUCUGAAUUUUUUUAUCUUGACCCCAAAUUGAAUUUUUACCAUACUAUGAAAUGUGGAAAAUACUGAACUUACAUCAGACUUAUUCUUUAGGAGAAAAAUCCAUGACACACGAGUACAAUCAUCAAUAAAUGAAACAAACCAACGAGCUCCAGAUAUAGUAGGAACAUUAGAAGGCCCCCAGAUAUCACUAUGGAUGAGUGAAAAAGGAACUGAUGUUAUUUUAUUGCUUACAGGAAAGGAAGCACGUUUGUGCUUUGCAAUUUCACAAAUAUUACAAUGAAGACGUUUCUCAUCAAUUCCUUUAAAUAACAAUGGGAACAUAACUUUAAGGAUGCUAAAUGAGGGAUGUCCUAGACGAAGAUGAUAAAGCCAAAUUUUGUCUUCAUUUGAAGUUAAAAAUUCAGAAAACAGUGAUAAAGAUAAGCUAUUCUUAGUUUCAUUUUGCCUGCUUGAUUCUUCAAGAUAAUAAAGUCCAUCUUUCUCCCUAGCAAGUCCAAUCAUCUUCCCCGUUACCUGGUCCUGAAAAACACAAUUUGAGGGAAAGAAAGUUACAGUACAAUUUAAAUCUUUUGUGAGCCUUUGUAUGGACAAGAGAUCAGUGGAUAAUUUUGGAACAUGAAGAACAUUAACAAGUUUCAAAUUUUGGUUUAUUAAAAUACUUUCUUGGCCCGUAACUGCGAUUAAUAUGCCAUCUGCUGUGGCUAUUUUCUUAUUGCUAGGACAUGGAUUAUAAGAGGUAAAUUUGUGUGAUGAAUGGGUCAUAUGAUCUGUAGCCCCUGAAUCAAUGACCUAGGAAUCUGGAAAAGAGGUUAUGCUUGAGACACUAAGGACACGGGGGAGAGGAUGCUUACCUGAGAGUGCUAAAGAACAAGCACCUGAAGUAGCAGACUUUCCCAAGGACCCCAACAAAUUCCUCAGUUUUUGUAUCUCACUUUGACUGAAGUCACUUUGCUCUUGUGGCAUGUCCUCCUCCCCAGGUUGUGAGUAAGUCAUAUGAGCCUGCCCUCUUUGUUGUCCAUCCUUCAUGGUCCAAUUUUUGUUUGACAAUUUCGGCUUUCCAUGAAGCUUCCAACAUCGUUCUAUCCUGUGCCGAGGCCUUCUACAGUAUGUACACCUUAAUUCAUCUUUGUUUGUUGCUUAAGACAUGUUCAAUUCCUCAUUCAUGCUCACGGUUGGUUGGUUUGGACUGGGUUUUUUAAAACCAGUCAUUUUUGAGACCAUAGCUGACACUUCGACGGCCUGUGGUUCCACCAUUACUCCCCUCCGUCCUUCUUCUGCUCUGAUUACCGCAAUAGUCUCAUUUAAUGAGGGCAAAUCAUCCUUUCCAAGAAUUUGGACUCUGACUGGAUCAAACACCAUAUUUAGUCCUGCAAGGAAAUCAUAAAUCCUGUCAUUUUCUUCCAGUCUUUUCACCAUGGCUGCAUCAUCACUGCAUUUCAGUUUAAUACAUUGAUAAUGGUCCAUUUCUUGACACAGAUUUUUCAUGAGAUUGGCAUAUUCUGUGAUAGUACGUUCUCCUUGCUUGGUGGCUGAAAUUUUAAUCUUGAUUUCAUAUAUCUGAGCAGCAUCAUGAACCUUGGAAUAGGUUUGUCCAACGGCAUCCCAAAUCUCCUUUGCAGUGGUUAGGAACAUACAUGAAUUGCUGAUCUCCGGUAGCAUUGGGUUCCAUAGCCAUGUCAUCACCAUAGAGUCCGCCUCAUCCCAAGCAUCAAAUCCAGGAUUUCCUGCUAUAGGCCCUGCACCAAGCGACUCAACAUGCCUUUCCUUUUCAAGAACGUUCUAACCAGCUGUGACCAUUUUAGGUAAUUCUUUCCAUUCAAUUUAUAUGCUGCUUGCAGAUUCUGUAACUCUCCUAAAGAUGAAGCAGGUUUUGUUUCCACAGUCUGCGUCUCAGAGGAGUUAGUGCUGUCAAUGAUUUCUGCCAUGGCCAUUGUGAAGAUCAAGAAAGAGCUGUGGUUAAAUCAAGAACGAGAGUGGCCAAAGGAAGAACAAAGAACUUAAGAUUUUCAAAAUGAUUUAGAGAGAACGAAAAAAAAUCAGCAAUAAAGGCUGAACAAAAUACUGGGCAAUGAAGGCCAACAAGUGAAAAAACAGAGGGUAAUUCCCAGAAGCUUAAAGCUCUGAUACCAUGUGAAGAAUUGAAGUAUUAUUCUUCUUCGUAAUCAUAAUAAUAAUGCUAUACAAUCAUUGAAUUUAUAUACUUACAGAGAACAAAUAAAAUAGAAAACUAUCCUAACAUAAAUCCCCUUAAUUAAGGGAUUGUGAUAUUCCUUUAAUUAAGGGAUUGUGAUAUCUCCUAAAUUACGGGAUUGUAUACCAUUAAUACAAUAAUUCCCUGAUUUCCUUAUUGGGCAGAUUUUCCCACUUGCAUAAGAAAAGUUAUUUAUUUUGACAGUGAAGGGUCACUUUCAAAUAAAGUUAUUCAUUUUUAGCUUUGACGUACAACUUAUUUUUUACUAGUAAACUUACUCCUAAGUAAUAAUUUAGCUUAGCCGAAUAUGACCUAAUAGAUUUUACUUAUAC